This 253-nucleotide unclassified non-coding RNA is filed under the name uncultured Sphingomonadaceae bacterium. RNAcentral describes it as "contains 16S-23S intergenic spacer region". It matches the Rfam family "Bacterial small subunit ribosomal RNA", at positions 524 to 776 of the family's 1533-position model. The record is from RNAcentral. Lineage: Bacteria; Pseudomonadati; Pseudomonadota; Alphaproteobacteria; Sphingomonadales; Sphingomonadaceae.
UACGUAGGGCGCAAGCGUUAUCCGGAAUUACUGGGCGUAAAGCGCACGUAGGCGGCUAUUCAAGUCAGGGGUGAAAUCCCGGGGCUCAACCCUGGAACUGCCUUUGAAACUGGAUGGCUAGAAUCUUGGAGAGGCGAGUGGAAUUCCGAGUGUAGAGGUGAAAUUCGUAGAUAUUCGGAAGAACACCAGUGGCGAAGGCGACUCGCUGGACAAGUAUUGACGCUGAGGUGCGAAAGCGUGGGUAGCAAACAGG